GGAGGAAAGCAGGGGAUCGUAAGACCUUGCGCUUUUGGAGUGGCCGAUGCCUGAUUAGCUAGUUGGUGGGGUAAGAGCCUACCAAGGCGACGAUCAGUAGUUGGUCUGAGAGGACGACCAGCCACACUGGGACUGAGACACGGCCCAGACUCCUACGGGAGGCAGCAGUGGGGAAUUUUGGACAAUGGGCGGAAGCCUGAUCCAGCAAUGCCGCGUGAGUGAAGAAGGCCUUCGGGUUGUAAAGCUCUUUCAGUCGAGAAGAAAAGGUUGCGACUAAUAAUCGCAACUUAUGACGGUAUCGACAGAAGAAGCACCGGCUAACUACGUGCCAGCAGCCGCGGUAAUACGUAGGGUGCGAGCGUUAAUCGGAAUUACUGGGCGUAAAGGGUGCGCAGGCGGCUCUGUAAGUCAGAUGUGAAAUCCCCGGGCUUAACCUGGGAA
Molecule: ribosomal RNA, 441 nt
Filed under: uncultured ammonia-oxidizing beta proteobacterium
Lineage: Bacteria; Pseudomonadati; Pseudomonadota; Betaproteobacteria
Description: bacterial SSU rRNA
Rfam family: Bacterial small subunit ribosomal RNA
Source: RNAcentral